UACGGAAGGCAGCAGUGGGGAAUAUUGCACAAUGGGCGCAAGCCUGAUGCAGCCAUGCCGCGUGUAUGAAGAAGGCCUUCGGGUUGUAAAGUACUUUCAGUCGUGAGAAAGGUGUUAAGGUUAAUAACCUUAGCAAUUGACGUUAGCGACAGAAGAAGCACCGGCUAACUCCGUGCCAGCAGCCGCGGUAAUACGGAGGGUGCGAGCGUUAAUCGGAAUUACUGGGCGUAAAGGGCACGCAGGCGGUUAAUUAAGUUGGAUGUGAAAUCCCCGGGCUUAACCUGGGAAUGGCAUUCAAGACUGGUUAGCUAGAGUCUUGUAGAGGGGGUAGAAUUCCAUGUGUAGCGGUGAAAUGCGUAGAGAUGUGGAGGAAUACCGGUGGCGAAGGCGGCCCCUGGACAAAGACUGACGCUCAUGUGCGAAAGCGUGGGGAGCAAACAGGGAUUAGAUACC
This 453-nucleotide ribosomal RNA is filed under the name uncultured bacterium. RNAcentral's name for it is "bacterial SSU rRNA". It matches the Rfam family "Bacterial small subunit ribosomal RNA", at positions 340 to 786 of the family's 1533-position model. The record is from RNAcentral.